Molecule: ribosomal RNA, 388 nt
Filed under: uncultured bacterium
Lineage: Bacteria
Description: bacterial SSU rRNA
Rfam family: Bacterial small subunit ribosomal RNA
Source: RNAcentral
AUUGAACGCUGGCGGCAUGCCUUACACAUGCAAGUCGAACGGCAGCACGGGAGCAAUCCUGGUGGCGAGUGGCGAACGGGUGAGUAAUAUAUCGGAACGUGCCCAGUCGUGGGGAUAACGUAGCGAAAGCUACGCUAAUACCGCAUACGAUCUAUGGAUGAAAGCGGGGGAUCGCAAGACCUCGCGCGAUUGGAGCGGCCGAUAUCAGAUUAGGUAGUUGGUGAGGUAAAGGCUCACCAAGCCGACGAUCUGUAGCUGGUCUGAGAGGACGACCAGCCACACUGGGACUGAGACACGGCCCAGACUCCUACGGAGGCAGCAGUGGGGAAUUUUGGACAAUGGGCGCAAGCCUGAUCCAGCAAUGCCGCGUGCAGGAUGAAGGCCUCGG